CCUACGGUGUGCUGCAGUGAGUAAUAUUGGUCAAUGGGCGCUAGCCUGAACCAGCCAAGUAGCGUGAAGGAUGACUGCCCUAUGGGUUGUACACUUCUUGUAUAUGGGAAUAAAGUGCAGUAUGUAUACUGCUUUGCAUGUACCUUAUGAAUAAGGAUCGGCUAACUCCGUGCCAGCAGCCGCGGUAAUACGGAGAAUCCGAGCUUUAUCCGGAUUUAUUUGGUUUAAAGGUGGCGUAGGCGGGUUUUUAAGGUAGUUGUGAAAGUUUGCGGCUCAACCGUAAAAUUGCAGUUGAUACUGGCAUCCUUGAGUACAGUAGAGGUAGGCGGAAUUCGUGGUGUAGCGGUGAAAUGCUUAGAGAUCACGCAGAACUCCGAUUGCGAAGGCAGCCUGCUGGACUGUAACUGACGCUGAUGCUCGAAAGUGUGGGUAUCAAACAGGAUUAGAUACCCUUGUAGUC
This 460-nucleotide ribosomal RNA is filed under the name uncultured bacterium. RNAcentral's name for it is "partial 16S ribosomal RNA". It matches the Rfam family "Bacterial small subunit ribosomal RNA", at positions 338 to 795 of the family's 1533-position model. The record is from RNAcentral.